AACGUAGGUACCGAGCGUUAUCCGGAUUCACUGGGCGUAAAGCGUGUGCAGGUGGUUUGGUAAGUCGGGCAUGAAAACUCUUGGCUCAACUGAGAGACGCUGUCCGAUACUGUCAAACUUGAGGGUGUAAGAGGGAGGUGGAAUUCCGCAUGUAGUGGUGAAAUGCGUAGAUAUGCGGAGGAACACCAGUGGCGAAGGCGGCCUCCUGGUACACUCCUGACACUCAUACACGAAAGCUAGGGGAGCGAACGGG
RNAcentral lists this ribosomal RNA (253 nucleotides) under uncultured bacterium. RNAcentral describes it as "partial 16S ribosomal RNA". It matches the Rfam family "Bacterial small subunit ribosomal RNA", at positions 524 to 776 of the family's 1533-position model. The record is from RNAcentral.